This 727-nucleotide unclassified non-coding RNA is filed under the name Trichilia capitata. RNAcentral's name for it is "sequence contains 18S rRNA gene, ITS1, 5.8S rRNA gene, ITS2, 28S rRNA gene". The stretch from base 309 to 454 matches the Rfam family "5.8S ribosomal RNA". Lineage: Eukaryota; Viridiplantae; Streptophyta; Magnoliopsida; Sapindales; Meliaceae. The record is from RNAcentral.
AGUCGUAACAAGGUUUCCGUAGGUGAACCUGCGGAAGGAUCAUUGUCGAAACCUGCCCAGCAGAACGACCCGCGAACCUGUGACUGCUCUCGAGGUGGGGUCUGGCGUAGGGCGCUCUGGCUCCCCGCCUUGUCCCCUCUCCUGCCGCAGGGGCCGAACGAGAUCUCUCGCUCGCCCUUCGCGGUCGAACAACGAACCCCCGGCGCGAGCCGCGCCAAGGAAUACGAAACGAGAGAGGGUGCUCUCGUCGCCCCGGGAACGGAUCGGCGUACGGGAUGCCCGCCCUUCUUUCAACAAAAAUCCAAAACGACUCUCGGCAACGGAUAUCUCGGCUCUCGCAUCGAUGAAAAAUGCGAUACUUGGUGUGAAUUGCAGAAUCCCGUGAACCAUCGAGUCUUUGAACGCAAGUUGCGCCCCAAGCCGUCAGGCCGAGGGCACGUCUGCCUGGGUGUCACGCAUCGUUGCCCCCCCACCCCCCCUCUGGGGGGGAUCGCUGGACGGGCGGAGAAUGGCCUCCCGUGCGCUACGGCUCACGGUUGGCCCAAAUCUGAGUCUUUCGGCGACCGUGCCGCGACGAUCGGUGGUGGAACAUGCCUCUCGAGCUCCCGUCGCGCGCUCGCGUCUCCGUGUCACCGGCUCGUUGGCCCUUCUACGCGCCCUCUCCUACCCGAGACGGCGCUCUACUUGCGACCCCAGGUCAGGGGGGACUACCCGCUGAGUUUAAGCA